Molecule: ribosomal RNA, 269 nt
Filed under: uncultured bacterium
Lineage: Bacteria
Description: partial 16S ribosomal RNA
Rfam family: Bacterial small subunit ribosomal RNA
Source: RNAcentral
GAGCACGUAGGUGGGUUUGUAAGUCAGAUGUGAAAGCCUUCUGUUCAACGGAAGAAUUGCAUCUGAAACUGCUAAUCUUGAGUAUAGGAGGGGAGAAUGGAACUUCUGGUGGAGCGGUGAAAUGCGUAGAUAUCAGAAGGAACGCCGGCGGCGAAAGCGACUCUCUGGCCUAUUACUGACACUGAGUGUGCGAAAGCUAGGGGAGCAAACGGGAUUAGAUACCCCGGUAGUCCUAGCCGUAAACGAUGGGCACUAAGUAGAGGGGUUUU